Non-coding RNA from Xyrichtys novacula (pearly razorfish), 3280 nucleotides. The record is from the annotation of a GenBank genome assembly. Lineage: Eukaryota; Metazoa; Chordata; Actinopteri; Labriformes; Labridae.
CCUCUUUUGAAAAAAAAGGCGAGAAAGCGCAGCCAUGCUUUGCAGAGGCUCCAACGUCGCUCUCAUUGGUAGCAGCAGCCUCUCGCCAAACGGACUCUCUCUCUCUCUGCUCGUCCGUCGUUUCACACCGACGGGGGGAAAAACCGGGAAUACAAGCAACCAUGAUGCCUUCGUGAUGUGAAGAUGUGCAGUGAGGUGAUAAUGCUAGAAUGAAGAGAUAAAAACAGUAGAGCACGGAUAAAUGUUAGCAGAGCUCAGUGUGCUGGGAUCCACCAUAUGGCGUGGAGCUGAUCCUGGUGAGUAUCCUUUGCUUGUGUGUGCUUUAAUGCUCGAUUCUUUGAUCGACUAUUCAUCAAAUUAAUGUGUAAUUCCACUCAAGGCGGUGGUAGAAUACACAUUUAAAAUGUUAGAAGUGGAUGUUGAUCAUUUGGAGAGAUAUUGGUCCUGCACUCUGAACGUUGCACUUGCCAUUGUUAUUGCGGGGUUUAGGGAAUAAACAGACAUUUGAAAAGGUUGAAGAAAAACAGGACGGAAAAGCAUCACGCAGAGUGGACAGAGCGUUUUAUGUCGACGGUUGCAUAAUCAAUAAGAAACAUAAAAGUGGACGGUGCAUUACUGAGCUUCAUCGUUUGUUCGUUACGCGGUGCUUAAGGACAAUAGGGGUCGUGUUCCUGUCGGUGGUCAGAUGGAGGGAGAGAUCAGAAAUAUGAUAAUCUGCUGAUGAUGAUGGAGCUCCAAUUUACAGCUGAUACGAGAGUGGAGUGGUUUGCAGGGGAUGGGGACGUUCCGUCUAAAAUGGCGUUUCCCUUUGUUUCUGCAUCCCUCUCCUCUCUGUAACAGCGAGUGGGUAACGCUGUGCUAUUACCAUAUCCACGAGCCUGCACCUCGUCUUGAAUCUUACAUCCAUACUGCAGACUCUUACGCAGUGGAUUCGGGGAUUUAACGGCAAAAGAGGAGCUGUCAGAUGGAGAAGUGAUCUCCUGUGUGGUUGGCUCAGAGGCUCUGACAGGAUCAGACCUGAGAGCAGGUAGAAGGCACUGACUUCAACUACUAUUGAGCAGAUUUGAUCCUCAAUUAGUCCAUGAAUUUGUCACUGUGUUCUGCAGCAUUGAUGAUCAUAACUGCAUAUCUGUGUCAAGCUCCAAACAAUGACUGCAUUAACGUGAUUCAUCCUAAACCUGCAUCUCGGCGCGUUUAACACCUCAAAAAAACAGCUUGUAAAUUUUUGUGCAGGGACAACAAAUCAGCAGAAUUGUUCUAAAGCCACCCUGCACUCACUUCAAACAGCAUCCCUACAUCAUCCGUGUGCGUGUGCGCGCGCGUGCCAUAUUCCAAGCGUGUGAGCGUGAGUGUAUGUGAGUGUACACGUGUGUUCUCGCUCUCUCUCUCUCGCUCCCUCUUCUUUUUUUUGGACUAGUGCAGUGUUGCAUAACCGUUCACAGCCAAUGCCAGAUUUGGGGCUUCACAAAUUGCGGGGCCAUUGUUGGCAUUUCCUCUACCGGCCCGUUCACACACACGCACACACGCGCACACACACAUAGAGAUACACUCGCACACGCGCGGAGUUCUCUCACCAACUGCCGAUCAUACCGAUCACUACAUAUAUCGGCGAUAAAGCUUCAUAAUACACUGAAUGGGAAGUCGUCAAUUUCCCUCCUAGUUUCAAGGACACAGGGCAGUCAUGAGGAGGACGCUGGGUAAUAUAGAGGAACAUCUGUUUGCCCGGUGACGUCAGCACCCCCCCCCCCCCCUUUCCACCCCCCUUCCACCCCCCCCUCCUCAUCCCAAUCCUCUUGUGCUGAAGGCAGAUGCCUCAUUUGUUUGGCUGGAGCUCCAUUAAUCCCAAAGUCAGAGGAAAAGACCGGACGGAGAGAGAUCAGUCCCAUUUAGGCAGUGUCGGUGUCGGUGGUGCGCUCGUGCUGCGCAGCUCGGGCGCCCGUGGUGUUCCGGUCAGGAGCGCGUACAGGGGACGCCUAUAUCGCUGUGUUCAGGACACCCGCAGUGGCCGAGGCUCUUCGGCUGCCCCGUGUGUGCGUUUGCGGUAGUUUUAACGUGUGACCCGAAAUUAGAAGCUGCAGGCUUGUGUGCGUGUGUUUGUGCGUGUGUGUGUGUGUUUGUGUGUGUGUGCUGUAAGAAAAAAAGGUGCGUGACAAGAAAAAUCAAUAUUUCGAGCGUGGACAGUGACUUUUCCAGUUUUAUGGACGCCCAUUGUGGAAUAUGAGAUUCUGUCACCUACGAAUCUGUUUCAAGUUCAUGACGCAUUUGUCUUUUCUUUUUCUGUAGGUGCAUUCUGGGAUAUUGGAGGACUACUAAGCUCUCUGCAGUUUUGGACAAAGCUGUCGAUGGAAAAAAAAACACACGGAGUCAUUUUUCCCACUUGGACGUAUAAUCAUUUUGCACGCAAAUAGCCUCCCUCUCGGUCACAUAAGCUAAGCUCCAUAUUAAAUGUGUUUAAACAUAAUAAUGUAGGCCUGCACAACAACCGGGAGAGGAUUUGAUCUCUUUGGACACGUGCGGGAAAUCUGUGGAUUCUUCUAUAUUUACUUUUUGGCCACACUUGACAUCCUGGUGCAGAUUUUUUGCUUCAAAUCUUAAAAAAAAAAAAAGUGUCAAAUUAUAUGAGUUCGACGUGUAUGCCUGUUCCCCACAGAAGAGCUCACACACUUGCAUGCAAACACACACCUACACACACUUGCACACACACAGACGAGCGGGUUGUGUCUCUCCGUGUUCACAGCGGACCUUGAUUUAAUGUCUUACAAUUAAGGCACGCGGUGAAUGCCAAGAGAUGAUCCUCCUAACGCCGGAUUUCUGCACAUUGAAGAAUCACGUUUAUUCUCAUGUCACUUUUACUGCAGGUUUGUUUCGAACUGUAACGCAUUAUUCCUGUUGUGCACAUCCCUCCUCUCUUCUUCAACAAUAAAGGAAAUCCACACAACCUUUUUAAUGCUUUGUUUUUAUGUUGACAUUCAUCUGAUGGCUGUGUUUUGUAAAGUGUGUAUGAGUGUGUGUGUGUGUGUCAGUGGGAGCUGUCCAUCCGCACACACUCACACACACACACACACGCAGGCUUGCCGGGAGCGCUGUCCACCUUAUGUGGUGCUGAAAUCUGCGCACCACCGAGCUGCCUUGUGUUUCUCCAAGCGGUGACGGCCUCGGUUGUUUCAUUGUAGUGCAGGAAUGCAGCUUGUAGCCGACAACGGAAUCACUUCAUAAACGCGGAAAACACGCAUAAAUCAGCGGAGGUGUUAUAAAGUAUAAAAAAAGUCUUUAUUUUCUG